This 701-nucleotide long non-coding RNA is filed under the name Marmota monax (woodchuck). The record is from RNAcentral. Lineage: Eukaryota; Metazoa; Chordata; Mammalia; Rodentia; Sciuridae.
GACCCUGUCUCUAAAUAAAAUACAAAAUAGGGCUGAGGAUGUGUCUCAGUGGUUGAGUGCCUCAGAGUUCAAUAUUUGGUACCAAAAUUAAGUAAAUAAAUAAAUAAAUAAAUAAAACAAAAUUCCUACAAUAUAACUUGGGAGAAUAUCCAGAGGCCCUCAGGUCUGAUGAGGACAAUUUAUAUACAAUAGCAAAGGCACGAUCAAUGAAAGAAAUAGUUGGUAAGCUGGACUUCAUUAAAAUUAGAAACUUCUAAUUUAUAUAAUGUAAUGUCAGAGAUGAAGAAUAUAAGUAUAACAACUGGGAGAAGAUAUUUGCAAAAUGCGCAUCUGAGAGAGGCAGGGCUCAGGUAUACUUAAAUCAUGAAGUUUGUUCCACGAAGAAGAAACUGCAACAGUAAAGACAGGUUUAGAUAGUGGAGGUUUGAAAAUAAAAGCAUACCAAAUGCAGGAAAAUCUCAACCAUGCAAAACCAGGAGAGGAAGACUGGAAACGAUAUUCAUCCCAGGAGGAGGGGGAACACUGAGGAGGAAUCCCAGGUGGAUGAAGGACUACUUCCUUCACUUGGAGGAGAAUGGAGAAAUAUUCAUUUGAUGUAAAUAAAGUACAAGUCAAAAAGUAUAAAUCAGAUACCUUUAAAUAAUUUAUUUUAUUAAAAUAUAAACCAAAUGUUUGGCAGAGGAUCAGAGUGUUCUUGGUGU